RNAcentral lists this ribosomal RNA (482 nucleotides) under uncultured bacterium. RNAcentral describes it as "partial 16S ribosomal RNA". It matches the Rfam family "Bacterial small subunit ribosomal RNA", at positions 30 to 523 of the family's 1533-position model. The record is from RNAcentral.
AGUGAACGUUGGCGGCGUGGAUUAGGCAUGCAAGUCGAGCGAGAACCGUAGCAAUACGGGGACAGCGGCGAAAGGGACAGUAAUGUGUAGGUACCUACCUCCGGGUUCGGGAUAGCUGCGGGAAACUGCAGGUAAUACCGAAUAACGUCUCCGGACCAAAGGUGUGAUUCCACCUGGAGAGGGGCCUGCAUCCUAUUAGCUAGUUGGGGAGGUAACGGCUCACCAAGGCGACGAUGGGUAGCGGGUGUGAGAGCACGACCCGCGUCAUUGGGACUGGGACACUGCCCAGACACCGACGGGUGGCUGCAGUCGAGGAUCUUCGGCAAUGGGCGCAAGCCUGACCGAGCGACGCCGCGUGCGGGAUGAAGGCCUUCGGGUUGUAAACCGCUGUCGUAGAGGAGGAAAUGCAGGGGGGUUCUCCCCUCUGCCUGACCUAUUCUAGGAGGAAGGACGGGCUAAGUUCGUGCCAGCAGCCGCGGUAA